GACGGACGCUGGCGGCGUGCUUAACACAUGCAAGUCGAACGGAAAGGCCCCAACUUGCUGGCGUUCUCGAGUGGCGAACGGGUGAGUAACACGUGGGUGAACUGCCCUGCACUCUGGGAUAAGCCUGCGAAACUGCGUCUAAUACCGGAUAUGACCGUGCGUUAGGCUGUGCGCUGGAAAGUUUUUCGGUGCUGGAUGAGCCUGCGGCCUAUCAGCUUGUUGGUGGGGUAAGGGCCUACGAAGGCGGCGACGGAUAGCCGGCCUGGGAGGGGGGACGGGCACAUGGGGACUGAGGGAGGGCCCAGACUCCAACGGGAGGCAGCAGGCGAGAAUAUGGCGCAAUGGGCGCAAGCGAGAGGCGGAGGCGCCGCGUGGGUAAUGACGGCCUUUGGGUUGUAAACCACUGUGGGCGGGGACGAAGCUUUUGUGACGGUACCUGCAUAAAAAGCACCGGCUAACUACGUG
Molecule: ribosomal RNA, 465 nt
Filed under: uncultured bacterium
Lineage: Bacteria
Description: partial 16S ribosomal RNA
Rfam family: Bacterial small subunit ribosomal RNA
Source: RNAcentral